AACGAACGCUGGCGGCAUGCCUAACACAUGCAAGUCGAACGAGACCUUCGGGUCUAGUGGCGCACGGGUGCGUAACGCGUGGGAACCUGCCCUUAGGUUCGGAAUAACUCCCCGAAAGGGGUGCUAAUACCGGAUAAUGUCUUCGGACCAAAGAUUUAUCGCCUUUGGAUGGGCCCGCGUUGGAUUAGCUAGUUGGUAGGGUAAAAGCCUACCAAGGCGACGAUGCAUAGCUGGUCUGAGAGGAGGAUCAGCCACACUGGGACUGAGACCCGGCCCAGAAUCGUACGGGACGAAGCAGUGGGGAAUAUUGGACAAUGGGCGCAAGCCUGAUAACGCAAUGCCGGGUGAGUGAUGAUGGCCUUAGUGUUGUAAAGCUCUUUUACACGGGAUGAUAAUGACAGUAACGGGAGAAUAAGCUCCGGCUAACUCCGUG
RNAcentral lists this ribosomal RNA (433 nucleotides) under uncultured bacterium. RNAcentral describes it as "partial 16S ribosomal RNA". It matches the Rfam family "Bacterial small subunit ribosomal RNA", at positions 29 to 507 of the family's 1533-position model. The record is from RNAcentral.